Long non-coding RNA from Oncorhynchus nerka (sockeye salmon), 4603 nucleotides. RefSeq lists it as uncharacterized. The transcript has 2 exons. NCBI's taxonomy places the organism in Eukaryota, Metazoa, Chordata, Actinopteri, Salmoniformes, Salmonidae. The record is from RefSeq and is a predicted model, not a curated record.
UCUUCUGGCUGUGCCAGGUGGAGAUUAUAAACCUAGAGAGGAACCAGGCUAUGAGGGGUGGCCAGUCCUCUUCUGGCUGUGCCGGGUGGAGAUUAUAAACCUAGAGAGGAACCAGGCUAUGAGGGGUGGCCAGUCCUCUUCUGGCUGUGCCGGGUGGAGAUUAUAAACCUAGAGAGGAACCAGGCUAUGUGGGGUGGCCAGUCCUCUUCUGGCUGUGCCAGGUGGAGAUUAUAAACCUAGAGAGGAACCAGGCUAUGUGGGGUGGCCAGUCCUCUUCUGGCUGUGCCAGGUGGAGAUUAUAAACCUAGAGAGGAACCAGGCUAUGAGGGGUGGCCAGUCCUCUUCUGGCUGUGCCGGGUGGAGAUUAUAACAGAACAUGGCCAAGAUGUUCAAAUGUUCAUAAAUGACCAGCAGGGUCAAAUAAUAAUAAUCACAGUAGUUGUAGAGGGAGCAACAGGUCAGCACCUCAGGAGUAAAUGUCAGUUGGCUUUUCAUAGCCGAUCAUUAAGAGUAUCUCUACCUCUCCUGCUGUUUCUAGAUUUGAAAACAGCAGGUCUGGAACAGGUAGCACGUCCGGUGAACAGGUCAGGGUUCCAUAGCCGCAGGCAGAACAGUUGAUACUGGAGCAGCAGCACGGCCAGGUGGACUGGGGACAGCAAGGAUUCAUCAUGCCAGGUAGUCCUGGGGCAUGGUCCUAGGGCUCAGGUCCUCAGAGAGAGAGAAGAGAAGGAGAGAAUUAGAGAACGCACACUUAAAUUCACACUGGACACCGGAUAAGACAGGAGAAAUACUCCAGAUAUAACAAACUGACCCUAGCCCCCCGACACAUAAACUACUGCAGCAUAAACACUGGAGGCUGAGACAGGAGGGGUCAGGAGACACUGUGGCCCCAUCUGACGAUAAACACUUUGACCGUUUGCUUUAGUCUGGAGUGCUUUAGGCCUGCCUGGAGUGCUUUUGGAGUGCUUUAGGCCUGCCUGGAGUGCUUUAGGCCUGCCUGGAGUGCUGUAGGCCUGCCUGGAGUGCUUUAGGCCUGCCUGGAGUGCUUUAGGCCUGCCUGGAGUGCUUUAGGCCUGCCUGGAGUGCUUUAGGCCUGCCUGGAGUGCUUUAGGUCUGGAGUGCUUUAGGUCUGGAGUGCUUUAGGCCUGGAGUGCUUUAGGCCUUUUAGGCCUGGAGUGCUUUAGGCCUUUUAGGCCUGUCUGGAGUGCUUUAGGCCUGUCUGGAUGAUGGGACUAUUAUUCUGGUUAAACAGACCAGAUCAGCCCAGUUAAAGUAUUGAAAUGAUUUCAAAUAGUAUUUGAACCCAGGUCUGACACACACACACACACACACACACACACACACACACACAGCCUAUACAGAGUGUACACACACACACACACACACAGAGUGAAUCAAUGAACAUGUCGCACAAUAACAUUGAAAUGAAAUAGAAACUUAGUGAUGAUGCUCAUGGCGUUUCUCCUCAUUCGUCUGAGAGAGAAACUUAGUGAUGAUGCUAAUGGCGUUUUUAAAUAUUCUUUUAUUUUUAACAAGUUGUUACUACAACGCGAUGUAAGGUAAAAAACAUGAACACAUUUCUAUUGGAAUAAACAUGGUUGUUUUACAUGUUCAGCUACCGUCUUAAGAUAUAUGAAUAUAAACUCGGCAACAACAAAACAGAAACGUCCUCUCACUGUCAACUGCAUUUAUUUUCAGCAAAACUUAACAGGUGUAAAUAUUUGUAUGAACAUAACAAGAUUCAACAACUGAGACAUAAACUGAACCAGUUCCACAGACAUGUGACUAACAGACAUGUGACUAACAGACAAACAGACAUGUGACUAACAGACAUGUGACUAACAGACAAACAGACAUGUGACUAACAGACAUGUGACUAACAGACAAACAGACAUGUGACUAACAGACAUGUGACUAACAGAAAUGGAAUAAUGUGUCCCUGAACAAAGGGGGGGGGGUCAAAAUCAAAAGUAACAGUCAGUAUCUGGUGUGGCCAGCAGCUGCAUUAAGUACUGCAGUGCAUCUCCUCCUCGUGGACUGCACCAGAUUUGCCAGUUCUUACUGUGAGAUGUUACCCCACUCUUCCACCAAGGCACCUGCAAGUUCCCGGAUAUUUCUGGAUGGAAUGACCCUAGCCCUCACCCUCUGAUCCAACAGGUCCCAGACGUGCUCAAUGGGAUUGAGAUCCGGGCUCUUCGCUGGCCAUGGCAGAGCACUGACAUUCCUCUCUUGCAGGAAAUCACGCACAGAACGAGCAGUAUGGCUGGUGGCAUUGUCAUGUCAGGAUGAGCCUGCAGGAAGGGUACCACAUGAGGGAGGAGGAUGUCUUCCCUGUAACGCACAGCGUUGAGAUUGCCUGCAAUGACAACAAGCUCAGUCUGAUGAUGCUGUGACACACCGCCCCAGACCAGGACGGACCCUCCACCUUCAAAUCGAUCUCGCUCCAGAGUACAGGCCUCGGUGUAACGCUCAUUCCUUCAACAAUAAAUGCGAAUCCUACCAUCACCCCUGGUGAGACAAAAACCGUGACUCGUCAGUAAAGAGCACUUUUUUCUAGUCCUGUCUGGUCCAGCGACGGUGGGUUUGUGCCCAUAGGCGACGUUGUUGCUGGUGAUGUCUGGUGAGGACCUGCAUUAAAGCAGGCCUAGAAGCCCUCAGUCCAGCCCCUCUCAGCCUAUUGUGGACAGUCUGAGCACUGAUGGAGGAAUUGUGUGUUCCUGAUAGAAACAACUCGGGCAGUUGUUUCUAUCCAUGCGUGAUGUUCGGAUUUACCGAUCCUGUGCAGGUGUUGUUACACGUGGUCUGCCACUGCGAGGACGAUCAGCUGUCCGUCCUGUCUCCCUGUAGCGAUGUCUUAGGCAUCUCACAGUGAGGACAUUGCAAUGUAUUGCCCUGGCCACAUCUGCAGUCCUCACGCCUCCUUGCAGCAUGCCUAAGGCACGUUCACGCAGGUGAGCAGGGAGCAUGGGAAUCUUUCUUUUGGUGUUUGUCCAGAGACAUUCGGAAGUCCUCUUUUUAGUGUCCUAAGUUUUCAGAACUGUGACCUUAAUUGCCUACCGUCUGUAAGCUGUUAGUGUCUUAACGACCGUUCCACAGGUGCAUGUUCAUUAAUUGUUUAUGGUUCAUUGAACAAGCAGGGAAACAUUGUUAAAACCCUUUACAAUGAAGAUCUGUGAAGUUAUUUGGAUUUUUACGAAUUAUCUUUGUAAGUGAGAAUCCUGAAAAUGGGUUUCUUUUUUUGCUGAGUUUACAUACUGAUCAGCACUUUGAAGCCUUCUUCAUUGAUGGUAUUUUUAUAUAUUUUUUUUAUAGAAGUUCUAAAAGUCAAAAGAACUACUUAGAUUAAUAUAUUAUUCAUUAUUUAUUAUUAUUAUUAAUAUUAUUAUAUUAUAUUGUAUUCAAAACAAAGACAUCUGUCCUUCAUAAAUGUCUACCUUGUCCUGGACAUAUUGACCCAGUAGUGUAGAAGGAAGUGUUGCCUUAGAAACGGAUAACACAGAGACACACCCCCAAGGCCUACCUUCAAACUCGGUGCCUCUUUGCUUGACAUCAUGGGAAAAUCAAAAGAAAUCAGCCCCCAAAAAAUAAUAGACCUCCACAAGUCUGGUUCAUCCUUGGGAAAAAUUUCCAAACGCCUGAAGGUACCACGUUCAUCUGUACAAACAAUAGUAUGCAAGUAUAAACACCAGGGGACCACGCAGCCAUCAUACUGCUCAGGGAGGAGACGCAUUCUGUCUCCUAGAGAUGAACGUACUUUGGUGCGAAAAGUGUAAAUCAAUCCCAGAAUAACAGCAAAGGACCUUGUGAAGAUGCUGGAGGAAACGGGUACAAAUGUAUCUAUAUCCACAGUAAAACGAAUACUAUUUCGACAACCUAAUAUAGUCCUACAUAACCUGAAAGGCCGCUCAGCACCAAACCGCCAUAAAAAAAAGCCUGACUACAAUUGCACAUGGGGACAAAGAUCGUUCUUUCCUCUGGUCUGAUGAAAACAAAAAUAGAACUAUAAUGAUGGCCAUAAUGACCAUCGUUAUGUUAGGAGGAAAAAGGGGGAGGCUUGCAAGCCAAAGAACAUCAUCCCAACCGUGAAGCAUGGGGGUGGCAGCAUCAUGUUGUGGGGGUGCUUUGCUCCAGGAGGGACUGGUGCACUUCACAAAAUAAAUGGCAUCAUGAGGAUGGAUAUUUCUGAGGAUAUAUUGAAGCAACAUCUCAAGACAUCAGUCAGGUCGCAAAUAGGUCUUCCAAAUGGAGAAUGGCUCCAAGCAUACUUGCAAGCAAAGUUGUGGCAAAAUGGCUUUAGGACAACAAAGUCAAGGUAUUGGAGUGUCCAUCACAAAUCCCUGACCUCAAUAUUAAAGAACAUUUGUGGGCAGAACUGAAAAGGCGUGUGCGAGCAAGGAGGCCUACAAACCUGACUCCGUUACCCAGCUGUCAGGAGGAAUGGGACAAAAUUCACCCAACUUAUUGUGGGGAGCUUGUGGAAGGCUACCCGAAACGUUUGACCAAAGUUAAACAAUUUAAAGGCAAUGCUACCAAAUACUAAUUGAGUGUAUGUAAACUUCUGACCCACUGGGAAUGUGAUGAAAGAAAUAAAAGCUGAAAUAAA